This is an RNA transcript of Mus pahari (shrew mouse), 964 nucleotides long. It is a transcript of the gene named high mobility group protein B1-like, with no coding region annotated. The record is from RefSeq and is a predicted model, not a curated record. Lineage: Eukaryota; Metazoa; Chordata; Mammalia; Rodentia; Muridae. The transcript is spliced from 2 exons.
AUGUCGCAUAGGCAUGAAAUAUAUCAGUUCACUGAGCUCCAUAAAGACAGCAUCAGGGCAAGCAAGAGCUGGACAGGCACUAGGCGACUGUGCUUCACAGAGAAAAAUAAAAAAGGAGUUCCUAAGAAACUGAGAGGCAAAAUGUCCUCAUAUGCAUUCUUUGUGCAAACCUCCCCAAAGGAGCACAAGAAGAAGCACCCAGAUGCUUCUGUCAACUUCUCAGAGUUCUCCAAGAAGUGCUCAGAGAGAUGGAAGACAUGUCUGCUAAAGAAAAGGGAAAAUUGGAAGAUCUGGCAAAGGCUGACAAGGCUUGUUAUGAAAGAGAAAUGAAAACCUACAUCACCCCACAAAGGGGUGACCAAAAAGAAGUUCAAGGACCCCAAUGCACCCAAGAGGCUUCCCUCGGCCUUCUUCUUGUUCUGCUCUGAGUACCACCCCAAAAUCAAAGGUGUGCAUCCUGGCUUAUCCAUUGGUGGUGUUGCAAAGAAACUAGGAGAGAUGUGGAACAACACUGCAGCUGAUGACAAGCAGCCCUAUUAGAAGAAGGCUGCCGAGCUUAAGGAGAAGUACGAGAAGGAUAUUGCUGCCUACAGAGCUAAAGGAAAUCCUGAUGCAGUGAAAAGGGGGGUGGUCAAGGCUGAAAAGAGGAAGAAAAAGAAAGAAUCGGAAGAUGAGGAUGAUGAAGAGGAUGAGGAAGAUGUGGAAGAAGAGGUAGAUGAAGAUGAAGAAGAAGAAGAAGAUGAUGAUAAUGAAUAAGUUGGUUCUAGUGCAGUAUUUUUUUCUUGUCUAUAAAGCAUUUAUCCCACCUGUACACAACUCACGCCUUUUAAAGAAAAAAAUUGAAAUGUAAGGCUGUGUAAGAUUUGUUUUUAAACUGUACAGUGUCUAUUUUUGUACAGUUAACACACUACAGAAUGUGUCUUUAGACAGCCCUGUCCUGGUGGUAUUUUCAAUAGCCACUAAC